The sequence is an RNase P RNA, 408 nucleotides long. It matches the Rfam family "Bacterial RNase P class A". Rfam says of the family: Ribonuclease P (RNase P) is a ubiquitous endoribonuclease, found in archaea, bacteria and eukarya as well as chloroplasts and mitochondria.
GCGGAGGGCCGGAUGGCCGCGGGGGCUGGCCCCCGAGGAAAGUCCGGACUCCCUGAAGCGACGGUGCCGGGUAACGCCCGGCCGGGGCAACCCGAGGGAAAGCGCCACAGAGAAGAGACUACCCGUCCCCGGACGGGAAAAGGUGAAACGGUGGGGUAAGAGCCCACCGCGGGCCUGGCAACAGGACCGGCAAGGCAAGCCCCACCGGGAGCAAUGCCGAAUAGGGGCCUCGCGCGGGGGCCGGUCCCGGAUCUCGGUCCGGGAGACCGCCCGCAGGGAUGCUUCGACCCGAGAGGCCCGGGUUGGCAGCUUGAGCGCGCCGGCAACGGCGCGCCGAGAGGAAUGGUCAUCCAGCCCCGGAUCACGGUCCGGGGCGGACAGAAUCCGGCUUACAGGCCCUCCGCGCAU